Long non-coding RNA from Beta vulgaris subsp. vulgaris (sugar beet), 556 nucleotides. RefSeq lists it as uncharacterized. NCBI's taxonomy places the organism in Eukaryota, Viridiplantae, Streptophyta, Magnoliopsida, Caryophyllales, Amaranthaceae. The record is from RefSeq and is a predicted model, not a curated record. The transcript is spliced from 2 exons.
CUUACCUUUUGGACAUAUGACUUGACUUUUGGACAUAAGACAGGCUGGACUUAUGACAUUUUGGAUUGGUAAAUUAGUGGACUAAUGUUACUAAAUAACUUAGUUAUUCACUAAUUCUGACUUCUAAAAGACGUUAAAUUCACUAGAUUAGAUUAUAACGAAAGUUCUAGAAUAAGGUUUUAACUAUUGCGUAAUUCGAAUCGAUAGAUCGUUAUGGUCUUAGUACGUAGUAGUUGUUAGUGUUAUCAAGGACGUAACACUAAAAGCUUUGUUUUAACGAUUUAGGUCCCAAUUUCAUAAGCGGCUCGUUCUAUUAAGUCAGCGAAAAUUCUCCGUUACAAGACUAGGUGAGCUGGUGCUGCUGCAUGACAUCAAGCAUAUGGGGGCUAGACUGUAGUUUGAAGUUAACUUUUGGUUUGAUCAUUAAUGAAUUUUAUAGAACAUUGUUACAUGGUUUGAGUUUGAAUAAAGAGGGGUCAUCUACGAUUCCCGAGUUGUAAUUACAUUUUCUAUUCCGCUGCAAUUUGGUUUUGAGACAAUGAAUUUGAGUUACCGU